Molecule: transfer RNA, 73 nt
Filed under: archaeon
Lineage: Archaea
Also listed under: 1 other name
Description: tRNA-Asn
Rfam family: tRNA
About the family: Transfer RNA (tRNA) molecules are approximately 80 nucleotides in length.
Source: RNAcentral
GCCUCGGUAGCUUAGUGGUUGGAGCGAUCGGCUGUUAACCGAUAGGUCGUAGGUUCAAAUCCUACCCGAGGCG